RNAcentral lists this ribosomal RNA (450 nucleotides) under uncultured bacterium. RNAcentral's name for it is "bacterial SSU rRNA". It matches the Rfam family "Bacterial small subunit ribosomal RNA", at positions 355 to 825 of the family's 1533-position model. The record is from RNAcentral.
UCGGGAAUUUUGGGCAAUGGGCGAAAGCCUGAUGGAGCGACGUCGCGUGAUGGACGAAGUGCUUCGGCACGUAAACAUCUUUUAUGUGGGAUGAAAUUAUUGACAGUACCACAUGAAUAAGGGGCUCCUAACUCUGUGCCAGCAGGAGCGGUAAUACAGAGGCCCCAAGCGUUAUCCGGAAUCACUGGGCGUAAAGGGUGUCGAGGCGGUUGUAUUAGUCGUUCGUAAAAUCUACGAGCUUAACUUGUAGGCGGCGAACGAAACGGUACGACUUGAGGUUUGGAGAGGUGCGUGGAACUCACGGUGUAGGGGUGAAAUCCGUUGAUAUCGUGGGGAACACCAAAGGCGAAGGCAGCGCACUGGCCAAAAUCUGACGCUCACACACGAAAGCUAGGGUAGCGAAGAGGAUUAGAUACCCUUGUAGUCCCUGAGCGGGCUGGCAAGGCGCAU